This 460-nucleotide ribosomal RNA is filed under the name uncultured bacterium. RNAcentral describes it as "partial 16S ribosomal RNA". It matches the Rfam family "Bacterial small subunit ribosomal RNA", at positions 338 to 795 of the family's 1533-position model. The record is from RNAcentral.
CCUACGGGAGGCAGCAGUGAGGAAUAUUGGUCAAUGGACGAGAGUCUGAACCAGCCAAGUCGCGUGAAGGAUGACUGUACAAUGGGUUGUAAACCUCUUUUAUAAAGGAAUAAAACGAGGCACGUGUGCCUUUUUGCGUGUACUUUAUGAAUAAGGAUCGGCUAACUCCGUGCCAGCAGCCGCGGUAAUACGGAGGAUCCGAGCGUUAUCCGGAUUUAUUGGGUUUAAAGGGAGCGUAGAUGGGUUGUUAAGUCAGUUGUGAAAGUUUGCGGCUCAACCGUAAAAUUGCAAUUGAUACUGGCAGUCUUGAGUACAGGUGAGGUAGGCGGAAUGCGUGGUGUAGCGGUGAAAUGCUUAGAUAUCACGAAGAACCCCGAUUGCGAAGGCAGCUUACUAAACUGUGACUGACAUUGAGGCUCGAAAGUGUGGGUAUCGAACAGGAUUAGAUACCCCUGUAGUC